GAUGAACGCUGGCGGCGUGCUUAACACAUGCCAGUCGAACGGGAUCCAAGGGGUGCUUGCACUUUUUGGUGAGAGUGGCGAACGGGUGAGUAACACGUGAGUAACCUGUCCUUUUCUUUGGGAUAAGCAUUCGAAAGGGUGUUUAAUACCUUAUGUUCUGUCUGCCUCGCAUGGGGUGGGUGGGAAAGGCUUUGGCCGGAUUUGGGUGGGCUCGCGGUCUAUCAGCUUGUUGGUGGGGUGAUGGCUUACCAAGGCUUUGACGGGUAGCCGGCCUGAGAGGGUGGUCGGUCACAUUGGGACUGAGAUACGGCCCAGACUCCUGCGGGAGGCAGCAGUGGGGGAUAUUGCACAAUGGGCGAAAGCCUGAUGCAGCGACGCCGCGUGGGGGAUGAAGGCCUUCGGGUUGUAAACUUCUGUUGCUCUGAACAAGGCAUGCCAGUGGGUGUGUUGAGUGUAGGGGUUGAUUAGCGCCGGCUAACUACGUG
RNAcentral lists this ribosomal RNA (485 nucleotides) under uncultured bacterium. RNAcentral's name for it is "partial 16S ribosomal RNA". It matches the Rfam family "Bacterial small subunit ribosomal RNA", at positions 28 to 507 of the family's 1533-position model. The record is from RNAcentral.